UUUAGUGAUUCUAAUAUAAGUAGGAAGACCCGCUGAACUGAAGCA
RNAcentral lists this ribosomal RNA (45 nucleotides) under Trichomitus sp. 2 ex Geochelone sulcata. RNAcentral's name for it is "partial 28S ribosomal RNA". Lineage: Eukaryota; Parabasalia; Hypotrichomonadida; Hypotrichomonadidae. The record is from RNAcentral.